Molecule: ribosomal RNA, 435 nt
Filed under: uncultured Oscillospiraceae bacterium
Lineage: Bacteria; Bacillati; Bacillota; Clostridia; Eubacteriales; Oscillospiraceae
Description: partial 16S ribosomal RNA
Rfam family: Bacterial small subunit ribosomal RNA
Source: RNAcentral
ACGGGAGGCAGCAGUCGGGAAUAUUGCACAAUGGAGGAAACUCUGAUGCAGUGACGCCGCGUAUAGGAAGAAGGUCUUCGGAUUGUAAACUAUUGUCAUAAGGGAGAAUAAAAGAUAGUACCUUAAGAGGAAGCUCCGGCUAACUACGUGCCAGCAGCCGCGGUAAUACGUAGGGAGCAAGCGUUAUCCGGAUUUAUUGGGUGUAAAGGGUGCGUAGAUGGGAAGUUAAGUUAGUAGUGAAAUCCCCAUGCUCAACAUGGGAACUGCUACUAAAACUGAUUUUCUUGAGUGCUGGAGAGGAAAGAGGAAUUCCUAGUGUAGCGGUAAAAUGCGUAGAUAUUAGGAAGAAUACCGGUGGCGAAGGCGUCUUUCUGGACAGUAACUGACAUUGAGGCACGAAAGUGUGGGGAGCAAACAGGAUUAGAUACCCUGGUA